This 497-nucleotide ribosomal RNA is filed under the name uncultured bacterium. RNAcentral's name for it is "partial 16S ribosomal RNA". It matches the Rfam family "Bacterial small subunit ribosomal RNA", at positions 28 to 507 of the family's 1533-position model. The record is from RNAcentral.
GAUGAACGCUGGCGGCGUGCCUAAUACAUGCAAGUCGAGCGAACGGACGAGAAGCUUGCUUCUCUGAUGUUAGCGGCGGACGGGUGAGUAACACGUGGAUAACCUACCUAUAAGACUGGGAUAACUUCGGGAAACCGGAGCUAAUACCGGAUAAUAUUUUGAACCGCAUGGUUCAAAAGUGAAAGACGGGCUUGCUGUCACUUAUAGAUGGAUCCGCGCUGCAUUAGCUAGUUGGGAAGGUAACGGCUUACCAAGGCAACGAUGCAUAGCCGACCUGAGAGGGUGAUCGGCCACACUGGAACUGAGACACGGUCCAGACUCCUACGGGAGGCAGCAGUAGGGAAUCUUCCGCAAUGGGCGAAAGCCUGACGGAGCAACGCCGCGUGAGUGAUGAAGGUCUUCGGAUCGUAAAACUCUGUUAUUAGGGAAGAACAUAUGUGUAAGUAACUGUGCACAUCUUGACGGUACCUAAUCAGAAAGCCACGGCUAACUACGUG